AGUGGGGGACAACCCCGGGAAACUGGGGCUAAUACCGCAUAUGGCCUGAGGGCCAAAGCAGUGAUGCGCCUUUGGAGUUACCUGCGUCCGAUUAGCUAGUUGGUGGGGUAAAGGCCUACCAAGGCGACGAUCGGUAGCUGGUCUGAGAGGACGACCAGCCACACUGGGACUGAGACACGGCCCAGACUCCUACGGGAGGCAGCAGUGGGGAAUAUUGGACAAUGGGCGCAAGCCUGAUCCAGCAAUGCCGCGUGGGUGAAGAAGGUCUUCGGAUCGUAAAGCCCUUUCGGCGGGGACGAUGAUGACGGUACCCGCAGAAGAAGCCCCGGCUAACUUCGUGCCAGCAGCCGCGGUAAUACGAAGGGGGCUAGCGUUACUCGGAAUUACUGGGCGUAAAGGGCGCGUAGGCGGCGUUCCAAGUUAGGCGUGAAAGUCCUGGGCUCAACCUGGGAACUGCGCUUAAGACUGGAGUGCUAGAGGAUGGAAGAGGGUUGUGGAAUUCCCAGUGUAGAGGUGAAAUUCGUA
Molecule: ribosomal RNA, 525 nt
Filed under: alpha proteobacterium W7
Lineage: Bacteria; Pseudomonadati; Pseudomonadota; Alphaproteobacteria
Description: bacterial SSU rRNA
Rfam family: Bacterial small subunit ribosomal RNA
Source: RNAcentral